Molecule: transfer RNA, 77 nt
Filed under: Psychromonas ingrahamii 37
Lineage: Bacteria; Pseudomonadati; Pseudomonadota; Gammaproteobacteria; Alteromonadales; Psychromonadaceae
Description: tRNA-Pro (GGG) (tRNA-Pro-GGG-1-1)
Rfam family: tRNA
About the family: Transfer RNA (tRNA) molecules are approximately 80 nucleotides in length. Their secondary structure includes four short double-helical elements and three loops (D, anti-codon, and T loops). Further hydrogen bonds mediate the characteristic L-shaped molecular structure. tRNAs have two regions of fundamental functional importance: the anti-codon, which is responsible for specific mRNA codon recognition, and the 3' end, to which the tRNAs corresponding amino acid is attached (by aminoacyl-tRNA synthetases). tRNAs cope with the degeneracy of the genetic code in two manners: having more than one tRNA (with a specific anti-codon) for a particular amino acid; and 'wobble' base-pairing, i.e. permitting non-standard base-pairing at the 3rd anti-codon position.
Source: RNAcentral
CGGUGAUUAGCGCAGCUUGGUAGCGCACUACUCUGGGGGAGUAGGGGUCAGAGGUUCAAAUCCUCUAUCACCGACCA